RNAcentral lists this ribosomal RNA (565 nucleotides) under uncultured bacterium. RNAcentral's name for it is "bacterial SSU rRNA". It matches the Rfam family "Bacterial small subunit ribosomal RNA", at positions 56 to 615 of the family's 1533-position model. The record is from RNAcentral.
UGCAAGUCGAACGGGGUGAGGGGGCAACUCUUCAUUCAGUGGCGAACGGGUGAGUAAUGCAUCGGAACGUAUCCCGUAGUGGGGGACAACGCCGCGAAAGCGGCGCUAAUACCGCAUAUGCUCUACGGAGCGAAAGUGGGGGACCUGCAAGGGCCUCACGCUAUGGGAGCGGCCGAUGUCCGAUUAGCUAGUUGGUGGGGUAAUGGCCCACCAAGGCGACGAUCGGUAGCUGGUCUGAGAGGAUGAUCAGCCACACUGGGACUGAGACACGGCCCAGACUCCUACGGGAGGCAGCAGUGGGGAAUUUUGGACAAUGGGGGCAACCCUGAUCCAGCCAUGCCGCGUGCGGGAAGAAGGCCUUCGGGUUGUAAACCGCUUUUAGUCGGGAAGAAAAGGCACGUUCUAAUACGGCGUGUUCUUGACGGUACCGGCGGAAUAAGCACCGGCUAACUACGUGCCAGCAGCCGCGGUAAUACGUAGGGUGCGAGCGUUAAUCGGAAUUACUGGGCGUAAAGCGUGCGCAGGCGGUUCGUUAAGUCUGAUGUGAAAGCCCCGGGCUCAACCU